UGCGCAGGCGGAGCGAUCAGUCAGUGGUGAAAUCCUGCAGCUUAACUGUAGAACUGUCAUUGAUACUGGUUUUCUUGAAUAUAGUUGAGGUAGGCGGAAUGUGUAAUGUAGCGGUGAAAUGCUUAGAUAUUACACAGAACACCGAUUGCGAAGGCAGCUUACUAAGCUAUGAUUGACGCUGAGGUACGAAAGCGUGGGGAGCGAACAGGAUUAGAUACCCUGGUAGUCC
RNAcentral lists this ribosomal RNA (229 nucleotides) under uncultured bacterium. RNAcentral describes it as "partial 16S ribosomal RNA". It matches the Rfam family "Bacterial small subunit ribosomal RNA", at positions 568 to 796 of the family's 1533-position model. The record is from RNAcentral.